GCCCCUGUAGCUCAGUUGGCCAGAGCAGCCGCCUUGUAAGCGGCAGGUCGCCGGUUCGAACCCGGCCGGGGGCC
RNAcentral lists this transfer RNA (74 nucleotides) under Actinomadura parmotrematis. Its description in RNAcentral is "Actinomadura sp. PM05-2 tRNA-Thr". It matches the Rfam family "tRNA". From Rfam's summary of the family: Transfer RNA (tRNA) molecules are approximately 80 nucleotides in length. Their secondary structure includes four short double-helical elements and three loops (D, anti-codon, and T loops). The record is from RNAcentral. Lineage: Bacteria; Bacillati; Actinomycetota; Actinomycetes; Streptosporangiales; Thermomonosporaceae.